UGUGGGUACCGUCACCCCAUACGCUAUUAACGCUGGAAGCUUCGUCCCCACUGAAAGCGGUUUACAACCCUAAGGCCGUCUUCCCGCACGCGGCGUUGCUGCGUCAGACUUUCGUCCAUUGCGCAAGAUUCCC
Molecule: ribosomal RNA, 133 nt
Filed under: uncultured bacterium
Lineage: Bacteria
Description: partial 16S ribosomal RNA
Source: RNAcentral